UACGGAGGAUGCGAGCGUUAUCCGGAUUUAUUGGGUUUAAAGGGUGCGUAGGCGGAUCGUUAAGUCAGUGGUCAAAUUGAGGGGCUCAACCCCUUCCCGCCAUUGAAACUGGCGACCUUGAGUGGAAGAGAAGUAUGCGGAAUGCGUGGUGUAGCGGUGAAAUGCAUAGAUAUCACGCAGAACCCCGAUUGCGAAGGCAGCAUGCCGGCUUCCGACUGACGCUGAAGCACGAAAGCGUGGGGAUCGAACAGG
RNAcentral lists this ribosomal RNA (252 nucleotides) under uncultured bacterium. RNAcentral describes it as "partial 16S ribosomal RNA". It matches the Rfam family "Bacterial small subunit ribosomal RNA", at positions 524 to 776 of the family's 1533-position model. The record is from RNAcentral.